Molecule: transfer RNA, 76 nt
Filed under: Planktothrix pseudagardhii
Lineage: Bacteria; Bacillati; Cyanobacteriota; Cyanophyceae; Oscillatoriales; Microcoleaceae
Also listed under: 2 other names
Description: tRNA-Gln
Source: RNAcentral
UGCAGGAUGGACAAUUGGCAAGUCGCUCUGACUCUGAAUCAGAGAGAGGUUGGUUCGACCCCAACUCCUGCAUCCA